GGUAGAGAGAAGCUUGCUUCUCUUGAGAGCGGCGGACGGGUGAGUAAUGCCUAGGAAUCUGCCUGGUAGUGGGGGAUAACGUUCGGAAACGGACGCUAAUACCGCAUACGUCCUACGGGAGAAAGCAGGGGACCUUCGGGCCUUGCGCUAUCAGAUGAGCCUAGGUCGGAUUAGCUAGUUGGUGGGGUAAUGGCUCACCAAGGCGACGAUCCGUAACUGGUCUGAGAGGAUGAUCAGUCACACUGGAACUGAGACACGGUCCAGACUCCUACGGGAGGCAGCAGUGGGGAAUAUUGGACAAUGGGCGAAAGCCUGAUCCAGCCAUGCCGCGUGUGUGAAGAAGGUCUUCGGAUUGUAAAGCACUUUAAGUUGGGAGGAAGGGUUGUAGAUUAAUACUCUGCAAUUUUGACGUUACCGACAGAAUAAGCACCGGCUAACUCUGUGCCAGCAGCCGCGGUAAUACAGAGGGUGCAAGCGUUAAUCGGAAUUACUGGGCGUAAAGCGCGCGUAGGUGGUUUGUUAAGUUGGAUGUGAAAUCCCCGGGCUCAACCUGGGAACUGCAUUCAAAACUGACUGACUAGAGUAUGGUAGAGGGUGGUGGAAUUUCCUGUGUAGCGGUGAAAUGCGUAGAUAUAGGAAGGAACACCAGUGGCGAAGGCGACCACCUGGACUAAUACUGACACUGAGGUGCGAAAGCGUGGGGAGCAAACAGGAUUAGAUACCCUGGUAGUCCACGCCGUAAACGAUGUCAACUAGCCGUUGGAAGCCUUGAGC
RNAcentral lists this ribosomal RNA (774 nucleotides) under Pseudomonas sp. Y4_259_3. RNAcentral describes it as "bacterial SSU rRNA". It matches the Rfam family "Bacterial small subunit ribosomal RNA", at positions 68 to 837 of the family's 1533-position model. The record is from RNAcentral. Lineage: Bacteria; Pseudomonadati; Pseudomonadota; Gammaproteobacteria; Pseudomonadales; Pseudomonadaceae.